UGAUUAAUUCAGGAAAUGCUGGUUCGGACGUCACAUGUCACGUGGUUUGAAGCAGUUGCUGCUUCGGACGUCAUAUGUCAUGUGAUUUGAAGCAAGCUUCGAAGCACUGCUUCUAUGGAAUAGGAAGUCCAGGGUUGAAGCUCCUUUCGAAGCUUCAGUGUCAAACUGCCAUCGCUAGAAUUCUCUGGAGGCCCUGUUAC
This is a long non-coding RNA of Notothenia coriiceps (black rockcod), 200 nucleotides long. RefSeq lists it as uncharacterized. The transcript is spliced from 3 exons. The record is from RefSeq and is a predicted model, not a curated record. Lineage: Eukaryota; Metazoa; Chordata; Actinopteri; Perciformes; Nototheniidae.